ACGACUAACCAAAUUCUCCCCAAGACACUAAUUUUGUAUCAAAUGGUUUGAGAAUUAACAGCACAGAUUAUGCAGUAACAAAUCACACGCAAGAACCAAAGCAUUAAAGAAACAAAGUGACACCAAGUAUAAGUGGUUCAGCACCAAGAUGUGGUGCCUACAUCCACUGGAAACAAAGCAACAGUCUUUCACUAUUUAGUUCACAAAACAAUACAAUAAUAGGAAUUUAUUUACAGAGAACAAGAACUUGUAAACCCCUUUCUCUCUCUAUCUUCUCUCUACUCUCUGUGUUUCCCAAUUCAUGUGUAGACGAUGACAGAGCCUGCACUUUUAACCUCUGUUUCUGGGUUGUUACAUUAACUACCCUUCCCGCCAAAACUAACCAAGAAGCUCCUCUCUCACGUGCUUGUCACAAGUUGGCAUAAGUGAGCUUGAAACGGCAAUCACAGAUGUCGUUCUUGAGCUAACGAGAUUUCAGCUUCACUACACGUGCAAACCACGUGUAUUACUUAAAGGUUGAAUGACCAAAGAGAGGAUGUCGGUUUUACUCUGAAGAACUCCUCAAGCGACAAGUCGGCUGAGACUAACUCCUCUAAACGACUUGUAGCACUUGAGUUUCGAGUUCACUGUUUAUCAAUCUCCACCUUGAACUCAGAACUCUAGCUACUCAUGUUUACUUCAUUCUCUUCCAUUUGCAGCUAAUCAGAAGCUGCAAAUCCCUACUAAGCUCAAACAGAAGUUGAGCUUGGCAGAUGGCAUAGCUUUAGUCAACAUAUCAGCUGGAUUUUGAUCAGUGUGAACCUUGAGCAUCUUCACAAUUCCCUUGGAAACUUCAAGUCUAACAAAAUGCAGCUUUACAUCGAUAUGUUUUGUUCUUUCGUGAUGGGUCUGGUUUUUACUCAAAUGUAUUGCACUCUGGCUAUCACAAUAUACUUCAACUGUUUCUUGUUUUGCUCCUAACUCAGAGACCAUUCCUUUUAACCAGAUGGCUUCCUUAAAAGCUUCUGCAGCUGCUGUAUAUUCGGCUUCAGUUGUGGACAAAGCUACCACACUUUGCAGUGUAGCUUUCCAAUUCACAGUGCAGCCUCCCAAAGUGAAUAUAAAACCUGUCUGAGACCUCAUUUUAUCAAGAUCUCCAGCGAAAUCUGAGUCAACAUACCCCACCAGCUUGUGCCCUUCCUGUUUUAACCCUCCAUAUAGCAGACCAAACUCCAUAGUGCCUUUCAGGUACCUCAUUAUCCAUUGGACUGCCCUCCAAUGUUCAUAACCUGGAUUUGCCAUGAAUCUACUCACUACACUCACAACAUGUGAGAUAUCAGGUCUAGUGAGAACCAUGGCAUACAUUAGAUUCCCAACUGCACUGGAGUAAGGUAUCCUUGCCAUUUUUCCUUGCUCUGCAUCAGUUUGUGGACACUGUGCAGCAGACAGCUUGAAGUGAUUUGCCAAAGGUGUUUGAACAGACUUAGAUUCAUGCAUCCCAAACCUAAGUAACACCUUUUUAACAUAGCCCUGUUGGGUUAGAAACAUAAGCUUCCUUCUCCUGUCUCUGAUAAUUUCCAUACCUAAGAUCUUCCUUGCAGCUCCAAGAUCUUUCAUAUCGAAUUCACUGCUCAAGAGGUCCUUUAAAUGACUGAUUUCAUUUAUGCUGUGACAUGCUAUAAGCAUGUCAUCCACAUACAGCAUAAGAUAAAUCAUCUUUCCAUCACCAAUGUCCUUAAAGUACACGCAACAAUCAUAAUUGCUUCUCUUAUAGGCAUGUUUUGUCAUGAAACUAUCAAACUUCAAGUACCAUUGCCUAGGAGACUGCUUUAAUCCAUAUAAAGAUUUCUUUAGUAAGCACACAUGAUCUUCCUUGCCAGACACCACAUACCCCUCAGGCUGCUCCAUUACAAUUUCUUCUUGUAAUUCACCAUGCAGAAAGGUUGUUUUAACAUCCAUCUGCUCUAGGUACAAGUCUUGAAUGGCAACUAAAGCUAAGAUGACUCUGAUGGAGGCAUGUUUCACAACUGGAGAGAAGAUUUCAUUGAAAUCAAUCCCCUCUCUUUGUGUGAAACCUCUUGCUACCAGCCUAGCCUUAAACCUACUAGGUUCAGCAUCAAAUAUCCCUUCCUUAAUUUUGAAGAUCCAUUUGCAGCUAACAGUCUUCCUUUUCUCUGGUCUAACUAUCAGUUUCCAAGUUCCAUUUUUCAUUAGUGAUUCAAUUUCCUCAUCCAUAGCCUUCUUCCAUUUCAGCUUAUCCCUGUUGUUUAUAGCUUCUUUAUAGGUUCUUGGCUCUUCUUCAUUUAUCUCUUGUGCAGCUGUUAAUGCAUAAGCUAUCAAAUAUGCUACUGCAUACCUCUUAGGUGGUCUUACAGCUCUCCUCUUUCUAUCCCUGACCAACUGAUAAGAGUUAUUUUCAUUCUCAGCUGGCUCUGACUCCUGAACACCAUCAGAUCCAUCAGCAACCCUUCCUGCAUCUUCUUCAGAUUCUGAUUCAGUCAUAUCUUGCUCAUGGGACUCCACCUGAAACUGAAUACUCCCAGGUUUUAUUUCUGAUCUAUACUCUUUGGAUUCAGUGGCUUUGGAAUUGUUCAAGAUUUCUGACUCAUUGAAAGUUACAUCCCUACUGAUAAUGCAUUUUGGUGGCUUCAGAUCAAUGCACCAUAGCCUAUAGCCUUUAACUCCAUCAGGGUAUCCCAAAAAUCUACACUUUAAGGCUCUUGGCUCCAAUUUGCCUUGUUUGACAUGUGCAUAAGCAACACAGCCAAAGAUUCUUAGUUUAGAGUAAUCAGCAACCCUUCCAGACCAUAGCUCGAUAGGUGUUUUGCAUUCUAUUGCUGUAGAUGGGCUUCUGUUUACCAAGUAGCAUGUUGUGUUUAAGGCCUCUGCCCAGAGUGACUUAGGCAGCUUUGAGUAUAGCAGCAUACACCUCACGUUGUCCAUUAAGGUUCUAUUCAUCCUCUCAGCAAGACCAUUUUGCUGAGGUGUGUGUAUGACUGUUUUGUGCCUCAUAAUCCCAUGUCUUUCACAGAAGUCCCCAAACUCUUUAUUGCAGAAUUCCAUUCCAUUAUCUAUUCUUAGAGCUUUUACUUUCAAACUUGUUUGUGUUUCUACCAGAAUUUUCCAUCUCUUGAACCUUUCCAAAACUUCAUCUUUGGUUUUGAGUACAUACACCCAAACCAUCCUUGAAUAGUCAUCUAUUAGGGAUAAGAAAUACCUACAGCCACCAAGGGAAUCUACCUGUGCAGGUCCCCACAGAUCAGAGUGUAUAUAUGCAAGCCUCUCUUUGGUAGAAUGAACUGCAGAUUCAAACUUGAGCCUGGAAGCCUUCCCUAGAAUACAGUCUUCACAGAACCCCAAAGAACUUAGCUUGUCACUUCCAAACACCCCCUUCUUUUGAAGCUCCUUCAGUCCUCUCUCCCUCAUGUGCCCCAACCUCAAGUGCCAUAGUUUUGCUUUAUCUUCACUCUUCUCAGUGACACUUGCCUCUCCAACAGUUGUAUGUCCAUUAAGCACAUACAAACCAUUUUGCUUGGUACCUUUCAUUAUGACUAUUGAGCCUCUGAUAACUUUUAAUGUCCCAUUUUCAGCCUUAAUGACACAUCCAGUUUGAUCAAGCAUGCCAAUAGAUAUUAGGUUCCUUUUGAGUUCAGGAACAUGCCUAACCUGAGUCAGUUCUCUAACCAUGCCAUCAUACAUCUUAAGGCUUACAGUCCCAAUCCCAACUACUUUACAAACUGAAUUAUUUCCCAUCAGCACCAUACCCCCAUCACAGGACUGAUAUGUAGUAAAGUAAUUUCUAUUUGGACUCAUAUGAAAAGUACAUCCAGAGUCUAGUACCCACUGACCUUGAGUUUUUUCUUUUGUGGCAAUGAGGACUUCAGCUGUCUCAAAACUGGUUUCUUCUGUGGCUAUUGCUGCAUUUCCAGAUUUUUCUUUUGAUUCCUUUUGUUUUGUUUUUCUCUCAGGGCAAUCCCUCUUGAAAUGCCCUUCUUUGUGGCAGUGAAAACACUUCAAGUGUUUUUGCUUUGACUUUGAUCUUCCUUGCUUCUUUCCUUUGUAUUCUCUUUUUUCAGAUCUUCCCCUUGCCAUCAGCCCUUCACUUGAUUCACUCUCUGAGUUAUCUUGUUUGUCUUUUAACUUCUUGGUACCAAGAGCAGAUUUAACCUCUUCCAAGGAGAGUGAUUGCCUUCCAUAUAACAAGGCAUCCACAAAAUGUUCAUACGAUUUUGGUAAAGAACUGAUUAACAGCAAAGCCUUGCUCUCAUCACUCAGUCCUUCAUCAAUUGUUUCCAGUUCAUCACAAACUUUAUUAAACUCAUCUAUGUGUUCAUCAAGUGAUGCUCCUUCAAUCAUCCUCAGUGAGAACAUCUUUUUCUUGAUGUAUAGCCUGUUUGCUAAAGACUUUGUCAUAUACAAUUGUUCCAGUUUUGCCCAGAGCCCAGCAACAGUCUUUUCUUUUGCAACUUCCCUUAUCACUGAGUCACCAAGACUGAGGAUGAUAGUGCUUCUUGCCUUUUUGUCAAUCUCAGCCAUCUGUUCUGGAGUUCUUGAAGAAGAAGCUUCUGCAUUUUCACUCUUGAUGACUGGAUCAAUGGCAUCUCCCAGACCUUGUGUGAUUAACAAUGCUUCCAUCUUGAUCCUCCACAUAUUGAAGUCAUUCUGACCCGUGAACUUCUCAAGAUCCACCUUGUUUGUCAUUUCUUGAACCUUGAUACAGAAAAGAGGGCUCUGAUACCAAUUUGUUGUGAAUUUGGCUUUGUUACGACUAACCAAAUUCUCCCCAAGACACUAAUUUUGUAUCAAAUGGUUUGAGAAUUAACAGCACAGAUUAUCCAGUAACAAAUCACAUGCAAGAACCAAAGCAUUAAAGAAACAAAGUGACACCAAGUAUAAGUGGUUCAGCACCAAGAUGUGGUGCCUACAUCCACUGGAAACAAAGCAACAGUCUUUCACUAUUUAGUUCACAAAACAAUACAAGAAUAAGAAUUGAUUACAGAGAACAAGAACUUGUAAACCCCUUUCUCUCUCUAUCUUCUCUCUACUCUCUGUGUUUCCCAAUUCAUGUGUAGACGAUGACAGAGCCUGCACUUUUAACCUCUGUUUCUGGGUUGUUACAUUAACUACCCUUCCCGCCAAAACUAACCAAGAAGCUCCUCUCUCACGUGCUUGUCACAAGUUGGCAUAAGUGAGCUUGAAACGGCAAUCACAGAUGUCGUUCUUGAGCUAACGAGAUUCCAGCUUCACCACACGUGCAAACCACGUGUAUUACUUAAAGGUUGAAUGACCAAAGAGAGGAUGUCGGUUUUACUCUGAAGAACUCCUCAAGCGACAAGUCGGCUGAGACUAACUCCUCUAAACGACUUGUAGCACUUGAGUUUCGAGUUCACUGUUUAUCAGAUCCUCCAUUAGCUCAGUAUUUGAUAAGCUCAGUUGGAUCAGACUUGG
This 5427-nucleotide long non-coding RNA is filed under the name Citrus x clementina. RNAcentral describes it as "Citrus clementina (C. clementina) long non-coding RNA (CCLE_LNC002393)". The record is from RNAcentral. Lineage: Eukaryota; Viridiplantae; Streptophyta; Magnoliopsida; Sapindales; Rutaceae.